Molecule: ribosomal RNA, 468 nt
Filed under: uncultured bacterium
Lineage: Bacteria
Description: partial 16S ribosomal RNA
Rfam family: Bacterial small subunit ribosomal RNA
Source: RNAcentral
GACGAACGCUGGCGGCGUGCUUAACACAUGCAAGUCGAACGGAAAGGCCCUGCUUUUGUGGGGUGCUCGAGUGGCGAACGGGUGAGUAACACGUGAGUAACCUGCCCUGUACGUUGUGAUAACUUCAGGAAACUGGUGCUAAUACCUGCUAGGAGCUCCUGCUGCAGGGUGGGGUUUGGAAAGUUUCGGCGGUUUGGGAUGGACUCGGGGCUUAUCAGCUGGUUGGGUGGGUAGUGGCUUACCAAGCCUUUGGCGGGUAGCCGGCCUGAGAGGGUGACCGGCCACAUUGGGACUGCGAUACGGAGCAGACUGCUACGGGAGGCAGCAGUCGGGAAUAUUGCACAAUGGGCGGAAGCCUGAUGAAGCAACGCCGCGUGCGGGAUGACGGCCUUCGGGUUGUAAACCGCUUUAGCCUGUGACGCAGCGUGAGUGACGGUAAUGGGUAAAGAAGCACCGGCUAACUACGUG